Molecule: ribosomal RNA, 497 nt
Filed under: uncultured bacterium
Lineage: Bacteria
Description: partial 16S ribosomal RNA
Rfam family: Bacterial small subunit ribosomal RNA
Source: RNAcentral
GAUGAACGCUGGCGGCGUGCCUAAUACAUGCAAGUCGAGCGAACAGAUGAGGAGCUUGCUCCUCUGACGUUAGCGGCGGACGGGUGAGUAACACGUGGAUAACCUACCUAUAAGACUGGGAUAACUUCGGGAAACCGGAGCUAAUACCGGAUAAUAUAUUGAACCGCAUGGUUCAAUAGUGAAAGACGGUUUUGCUGUCACUUAUAGAUGGAUCCGCGCCGCAUUAGCUAGUUGGUAAGGUAACGGCUUACCAAGGCAACGAUGCGUAGCCGACCCGAGAGGGUGGUCGGCCACACUGGAACUGAGACACGGUCCAGACUCCUACGGGAGGCAGCAGUAGGGAAUCUUCCGCAAUGGGCGAAAGCCUGACGGAGCAACGCCGCGUGAGUGAUGAAGGUCUUCGGAUCGUAAAACUCUGUUAUUAGGGAAGAACAAAUGUGUAAGUAACUAUGCACGUCUUGACGGUACCUAAUCAGAAAGCCACGGCUAACUACGUG